RNAcentral lists this ribosomal RNA (350 nucleotides) under uncultured eukaryote. RNAcentral describes it as "SSU rRNA". It matches the Rfam family "Eukaryotic small subunit ribosomal RNA", at positions 567 to 929 of the family's 1831-position model. The record is from RNAcentral.
CCAGCAGCUGCGGUAAUUCCAGCUCCAAUAGCAUAUAUUAAAGUUGUUGCAGUUAAAAAGCUCGUAGUUGGAUUUCUGAGGGGGUGCCAAUGUCCGCUGUUGCGUGUUCAGCGGCGCCCCCUCAUCCUUCUGUUAACGUUUCUGACAUUCAUUUGUUGGUCUCGGGCUCAGAUAUUUUACCUUGAGAAAAUUAGAGUGUUCUAGGCAGGCUUGCGCCGGAAUACAUUAGCAUGGAAUAAUAGAAUAGGACUUUAGUCUCCUUUGUUGGUUUGAGGGAUUGAAGUAAUGAUUAAUAGGGAUAGUUGGGGGCAUUAGUAUUUAAUUGUCAGAGGUGAAAUUCUCGGAUUUGU